CGGACGGGUGAGUAACGCGUGGAAAACCUGCCGUAUACUGGGGGAGUAACACUUAGAAAUAGGUGCUAAUACCGCAUAAGCGCACAGCUUCGCAUGAAGCGGUGUGAAAAACUCUGGUGGUAUACGAUGGUUCCGCGUCUGAUUAGCUAGUUGGUGGGGUAAUGGCCUACCAAGGCAACGAUCAGUAGCCGGCCUGAGAGGGUGAACGGCCACAUUGGGACUGAGACACGGCCCAAACUCCUACGGGAGGCAGCAG
Molecule: ribosomal RNA, 256 nt
Filed under: uncultured bacterium
Lineage: Bacteria
Description: partial 16S ribosomal RNA
Rfam family: Bacterial small subunit ribosomal RNA
Source: RNAcentral